This 253-nucleotide ribosomal RNA is filed under the name uncultured bacterium. Its description in RNAcentral is "partial 16S ribosomal RNA". It matches the Rfam family "Bacterial small subunit ribosomal RNA", at positions 524 to 776 of the family's 1533-position model. The record is from RNAcentral.
UACGGGGGGAGCAAGCGUUGUUCGGAUUUACUGGGCGUAAAGGGCGCGUAGGCGGCGCAACAAGUCACUUGUGAAAUCUCCGGGCUUAACCCGGAGCGGCCAAGUGAUACUGUCGUGCUAGAGUGCGGAAGGGGCUACUGGAAUUCUCGGUGUAGCGGUGAAAUGCGUAGAUAUCGAGAGGAACACCUGCGGCGAAGGCAGGUAGCUGGGCCGACACUGACGCUGAGGCGCGAAAGCCAGGGGAGCGAACGGG